CCGGCCCGCCGGCCGGACCGGCGCGACGGGUGAGUAACACGUAUGCAACCUGGCCGCCACAGGGGGAUAACCCGCGGAAACGCGGCCUAAUACCCCGUGACGCCACCGGAGGGCAUCCUCCGGGUGGCCAAAGGAGCGAUCCGGUGGCGGAUGGGCAUGCGGCGCAUUAGCUAGACGGCGGGGUGACGGCCCACCGUGGCGACGAUGCGUAGGGGUUCUGAGAGGAAGGCCCCCCACACUGGGACUGAGACACGGCCCAGACUCCUACGGAAGGCAGCAG
RNAcentral lists this ribosomal RNA (280 nucleotides) under uncultured bacterium. Its description in RNAcentral is "partial 16S ribosomal RNA". It matches the Rfam family "Bacterial small subunit ribosomal RNA", at positions 75 to 354 of the family's 1533-position model. The record is from RNAcentral.